UUUUUUUUUUUUUUGGUCUUUUUAGGACUCCACCCGCAAUAUAUGGAAGUUCCCAAGGCUAGGGGCUGAAUCAGAACUGCAGCUGCUGGCCUAAACCACAGCCACAGCAAUGCCAGAUCUGAGCCGUGUCUGAAACCUAUAGCACAGCUCACGGACAAUACCAGAUCCUUAAUCCACUGAGUGAAGCCAGGGAUUGAACUCACAUCCUCAUGGAUACCAGUUGGGUUUAUUACUUCUGAGCCAUGAUGGGAAAUUCCUAACAAGUAAUCUUCAACAAUGGUUAGAUUACACAUAAGCAAAAGGAUAUCCCUCAGUAUUUAAAGAAUACUUAUUUUAUAUCACACAAAAAUCAAAUCCAAAUGGAUUAAGACUUAAACACAAAACAUGAAAUCAUAACACAGCUAGAAGAUAACAUAAAAAGAAAUGCUUCUUCACAUUGGUCUUUCUCUGAGAAUGAUAUUUUGGAUCUGACACCAAAAGAAUAGGCAACAGAAGCAAAAAUAAACAAAUAGGACCACAUCAAACUAAAUAUUUCUACCGGGUAAAGGAAACAAUCAACAAAAAGAAAAGGCAUCUUACUGAAUAAGAGACAACAUUUGGAAACCACAGAUUUGAUAAGGGGUUAAUAUCAAAAAUACAUAGAGAACUCAUACAACUCAACAGUAAGAAAACAAACAAAUAAAAAUAUUCAAAAAUGGGGAAAAGACCUGAAUGGAUAUGUUUCCAAAGAAGACAUAUGAAUGGCCAAACAGUAUAGGAUAAGGUUCUUGUGAUAUAGUGAUUUUAUAAGAAGUCACAUAUAUAUUUAUUUGAUUUUGCUCCCUGCUUCUGGCCAAGAGCUCUUAAAAUCCUUGGAAUUUCCAAAAGGAUGAGAACUCCUAGGAAGUCCUUUUCUUCUAAUAUUUGGUAUCUGACCUCAGUUUCUGACCCAGGGCUGCUGAAACCUUCCUAAUUUUCCACGGGAUAGGAAUGUCUUGUUCUAAUGAGGCAACUCUGGUUGGGCUGUUGGAUGGCUCCUGGUAAUGACUGGUCAGCAGAAAGACCAAGCCAUGAUAAGGAACUUGGAAUCUUCAGUCCCAUUAUACAUUCUCUUCAGAAGGACAAAGGGCUGAAAAUGGAGUUAAUCAUCUGUCAUGCCUAUGUGAUGAAGCUUCCAUUAAAAAUCCUGGUAGAGGAGUUCCCGUCGUGGCGCAGUGGUUGACGAAUCCGACUAGGAACCAUGAGGUUGCGGGUUCGGUCCCUGCCCUUGCUCAGUGGGUCAAGGUUCCGGCGUUGCCGUGAGCUGUGGUGUAGGUUGCAGAUGCGGCUCGGAUCCUGCGUUGCUGUGGCUCUGGCGUAGGCUGGCAGCUACAGGUCCGAUUAGACCCCUAGCCUGGGAAUCUCCAUAUGCCAGCACUGGCCCAAGAAAUGGCAAAAACCAACAAAAAAAAAUCAUGGUAGAAGGCAGUAUAGAUAGCUUUCAAGUCAGGGAACACAUCCAUACACCAGUGGCAUGAUGCACCCCAGUUCUACAGGGAUAGAAGCUCCUGAGCUUAGGACCCUCACAGACCUCUCCCUAUGGGUCUCCUCAUCUGGCUGUUCAUCUGUAUCUUUUAGCAUGUCCUUUAAUAACCUGGUAAAAUUAAGUGUUUCCCUGAGUUCUAUGAGCCACACUAGUAAAUAAUCAAAUCCAAGGGUGGGGGGAGGUCCAUGGGAACCUCUGAUUUACAGCCUGAUCAUACAGAAGUUGCGGGUAACUUGGGGACCUACUACUAGUGAUUAGCAUCUGAAGUGGGGAGCACACUGGCGGGACUGAGUCAUUGGCCUGUGGGAUCUGACACUGUCUCCAGUCUCCAGGGGUAGAUAGAAUGAGAAGUGAGUUAAACUGUAGGACAACUAGCUGCUUCGAAGAGACUUUUUUGUGGGGAACACUCCCCACAUAUUUGGUGACCAGAAGUGUCAAAAGUGAAAUGUUCAGUUUAAGUACAAAGUAGACACACUAGAGGAACAAACUGUAGGUUUUCCCCUACAUAGGCCUCAGCACCACCAACCAUCAGGGGAAUGCAAGUGAAAAAUCACAAUGAAAUACCACCUCACACCUAUAAGCAUGGUUAUUAUUAAAAAAAAAAAACCUCUGAAUAUAAAGUUUUGGCAAGGACUUAGAUAAUUGGGAACCUUUAUAUCCUGUUGGGUAUGUAAACUACUAUAGCACAAUUAUGGAAAACAGCAUGAAGGUCAAUAAAAAAUAACACAUGAUUCAACAAUCCCACUUCUGAUUAUAUAUCCAAAGGAAAUGAAAUAACUUGCUCAGAGAAAUAUCUGCAUUCCCAUGUUCACCACAACAUUAAACACAAUAGCCAAGACCUGGAGACAACCUAAGUGCCUGUUGACAGAUGAAUGGAUAAAGAAAAUGUGAUGUAUAUGUAGACAAAAGAAUAUUAUUAAGCCUUUUAAAAGAAGGAUAUCCUAACACUUGCAGCCACAUGAAUGAACUCAGAAGAUAUUAUACUAAGUGAAAUAGGCAAGACAGAGAAAAACAAUAUUGCAUGACCUCACUUAUAGGUGAAGUCUAAACAAGUCUAACUUAGAAACAGAGAGUAGAAUGGUGGUUACCAGGGGCUAGAGGUUUGGGACAAAUGGAGAGAUGUUGAUCCAAGGGGACAAAGUUCAGUUAUGCAAGAGGUAUAAAUGCUGGAUCUAAUGUACAACAUAGUGACUACAGUUAAUAAUUAUGUAUUAUAUACAUCAAAUUUGCUGAGAGAGUAGAUCUCAAAUAUUCUCCCCAUACAAUGAAAAGAAAGAAUAAGUAUUCAUAGUAUAGUUGGUGGACAAAGGGCACAGCAGGGGGAGGCUUAAGCUGUCACCAAAAAUCAAAAACAGUGAGUCCAAAUGUUCAUUACAAGGAAAAACAUGGGUAAGAGAAUAGGCAUUCACCUUUGUUUAUCUUUACAUAAAGAAACACUUGCAGGAUGCUCAAGAAAUCCAAAGGUAUGUAUUUGAGAGUGGCUGGAGUAACAGCACUGGAGGAGACCAGGAUAUGUGGGCAGUGCAUCUUCUCAAGUUAGAUUUACCUAUUUCAGUGAUUUAUUCAAAAUGAACAGAUGAAUGGAUUAAGAAGAUGUGUUACAUAUACACAAUGGAACAGCACUCAGCCAUAAAAAGAACAAAAUCAUGCCAUUUGCAGCCACAUGAAUGUAUCUAUAGACUCUCACACUAAAUGAAGUCAGAAAGAUAAAUACAAGUAUCAUAUAUCACUUGUAUCUGGAAUCACAAAUGAAACUAUUUACAGAAAAGAAACAAGGUCAUGGACAUGGAGAACAAAGUUGUGAUUGCCAAGAGGGGAAGGGGAGGGAGUGGGAUGGAUUGGGAGUUUGGGGUUAGUAGAUGCAAACAAUUGCAUUUGGAGUGGAUAAGCAAUGAGAUUCUGCUGUACAGCACAGGGAACUAUACCUAGUCACUUGUGAUGGAACAUGAUGGAGGAUAAUGUGAGAAAAGGCAUGUAUGUAUAUGUAUAACUGGGUCACUUUGCUGUACAGAGAAGAAAUUGACAGAACAUUGUAAAUCAACUAUAAUAAAAUAAAUAUAAAAAUAAAUGAAAAUAACUAUGAUGUGAUCCAGCAAUCCCACUCCUGGGUGUCUCUCUGGACAAAACUAUAAUUCAAAAUGAUACAUGCACCCCUAUGUUCAUAGCAGCACUAUUCACAAUAGCCAAGACAUGGAAACAACCUAAAUGUCUAUCGACAGAUGAAGGGAUUAAGAAGAUGUGGUACAUACAAUGGAAUACAACUCAGCCAUAAAAAAGAAUGAAAUAAUCUCAUUUGCAGGAACAUGCACACAGCCAGAGAUUCACCUACUAAGUGAAGUCAGUCAGAAAGAGAAAGACAAAUACCAUACCAUAUAACUUAUAUGUGGAAUCUAAAAUAUGGCACAAAUGAAGCUAUCUAAGAAGCGGAAACAGACUCACAGCCAUAGAGACAGACUUGCAGUGCCAAGGGGGAGGGGGAAGGGGAAGAGAGUGGGAUGGACUGAGAGUUUGGGGUUAAAAGAUUCAAGCUAUUACAUUUAGAAUGGAUAAACAGUAAGGUCCUACUGUAUAUCAUAGGGAACUACAUCCAGUCUCUUGAGACAGACUAUGAUGGAAAAUAAUAUUAAAAAAAGAAUGUAUAUAUGUAUGACUGGGUCACUUUUCUGUAAAGAAGAAAUUGGUACAAUAUUGUAAGUCAACUAUACUUUAUACUUUAAUAUUUUUUAAUUUAACAAAGUAAAAAAUAAAAUGAACAGAGAAACUUAUAUAGACAUGCUUUGUUUAUUACUAGUUUAACUUGUGUAAAUAGAAAACCAUUCAAAUAUAUUUCUUUAAACACUAAGGGUUACAAAAUGUAAAUCAUGCAAAGAAAAUUUUCAGAUUUCUUAACUAAAAUGAUAAGGUUCAUCCUACUUUGUCCUUCCUCUAUAUCUCACAUGGAGGUCAUUCUCAGGAAGAAAGUAUAUUCAGUUCAGCUCCUUAAAUGUAGUAGGAUUUUCAAUGACUUCUAUAAGCUUUGAUUAGUUUUCCUUAUAUUAAUUAUAGUAGGAGUUCAGUUCCUCUAGACUUUUAAAUUUAGGUAUCCUCUACAAACGUGCAUAUACACAAAAUACCCAUGUAAAAAUGAAAAAUGUACCUGAAGAGUAAAAAACAUUCACCUCACACCUUAAGGUCCUCUAUUUGGUUCCAUUAUUUACUGGCUUUUUUGUUAUUAAAUUUCUCAAUCAAUGUACAUUUUCUAAGUUCUUUUGUGCUAAGGAAAACUAGAGCCAAAAGGCUGCAAUAUUCAAUGGAUAGAGAAAUCCAAAGGAAAGAAACAUUGGAACCAGGACAGACAAGCGGCCUGCUUCCCAAAGGACAGAAACACCCAUUAAGGGCAUGAAAAAAAAACAACAAAAAAAAAGAGGAAACAAAUGUUAACACAAGCAAUGUAAAAUUGUUAUGUUUUGCUUUUCCAAAAUUCACCUUGUUCUUUAGUUUAUAUUUGGUGUCAAACAGAGAUUUUAACAAAUGAACAAACCUAUUUUGCCUGACAAAUCCAGGGAGGGGCAACUCUGACAGGGCAGAUCACCUAGGAAGUUUCCCAAGAGGUACCUACACCCAAAGGACUUCCCAUAGGAUGUCUGUACCCAGGGAAGAUUCUGGGAGGAUAGACACAAGAUUUCUGCCCCUCUUUUCUGAGUGACCGUGGUGGGGGGGGUUAGCACAGGUCACUUGGUUGAGCAGAUUAGCUUCCACCAGUGGGUAGGACCUUGUCCUUUCCAGAGAUGUUUGCUUUUAAAUAGGACUUGUACUUAGCUGCUCCUAACCGAUGCUAUGCAAAAUCACACAAUGAAAACCAUGGAACUCAUGGAGAAAAUGGCUCUACACUCAAAGCUUUUCUGUUACAUAAAAAAAUAGUAACUAAUAGUGGUUUACAUAUGCUGAGUGGUUGAAAAAUACAAAAACACAAGCUAUAAAACACUUUACCUUGAAAGAGGCCUGCCAUUUGUUUGCAGAAAUCAUCAUCAUAAAGCUUGAAAUCCAUGAGUUAUAAUGAAGAAGUGGAAGGAGAGCUACC
This 5564-nucleotide long non-coding RNA is filed under the name Sus scrofa (pig). RNAcentral describes it as "lncRNA (ENSSSCG00050073689.1)". Lineage: Eukaryota; Metazoa; Chordata; Mammalia; Artiodactyla; Suidae. The record is from RNAcentral.